RNAcentral lists this ribosomal RNA (535 nucleotides) under uncultured bacterium. RNAcentral's name for it is "bacterial SSU rRNA". It matches the Rfam family "Bacterial small subunit ribosomal RNA", at positions 355 to 914 of the family's 1533-position model. The record is from RNAcentral.
UUAGGAAUUUUGCGCAAUGGACGAAAGUCUGACGCAGCGACAUCGCGUGUAGGAUGAAGGCCCUCGGGUCGUAAACUACUUUUAUAACAACAUGAAGUUGUUUUGAAUAAGCAACUACUAACUACGUGCCAGCAGUCGCGGUAAUACGUAGGUUGCAAGCGUUACCCGGUUUUAUUGGGCGUAAAGGGUCUGUAGGCGGUUUUUUAAGUCUUAUUUCAAAGACUUCGGCUCAACCGGAGAAAGGGGUAGGAUACCUGGAAGACUAGAGUUAUAUCGGGGGUUACUGGAAUUUGUAGUGUAGGGGGUUAAAUCCGUGGAUACUACAAGACACCAAGCGCGAAGGCGGGUAACCAGGUAUUUACUGACGCUCAGAGACGAAAGCUAGGGUAUCGAAUCAGAUUAGAGACCUGAGUAGUCCUAGCCGUAAACAUUGUCCGUUAAUUCUUCCUUGCUUUGCAGGGGGGGAUGGCAAGCUAACGCAUUAACGGACCGCCUGGGGAGUAUAGCCGCAAGGCCGAAACUCAAAUGAAUUGAC